Molecule: long non-coding RNA, 5093 nt
Organism: Papaver somniferum (opium poppy)
Lineage: Eukaryota; Viridiplantae; Streptophyta; Magnoliopsida; Ranunculales; Papaveraceae
Exons: 9
Source: RefSeq, a predicted model, not a curated record
UCUUUAGAGAACCAGGAAAAAUAUCUCUUUCUCCCUCACCGUGUUUGAUAAAUCAGUAUCGAAAUCUCAAAGGUUGCAACUUUUUUUCUUUCUUUCUUCGCAUUCUCUCGUUCUCCACUCCAUAUGAAACCCUGAAUUUUUCAGAUCUCCUCGUCUUCAUGCUUCAAUUAAGAAGCAGAAAGAAAUCCCAUUUUCUUCUUGUAAUUUUCUUCAUCUUUCCAGAUCCGUUUGCUAUUACCAAAACGGAUUGACCUUCAUGAACCUAGAAACAACCACUACGAUUAAAAUCCUUUCUUCUAAAACGAUUUCUUCGAAACUCUUACCUUCAAAACAAACCCAUUUUCAGUUGUUAUUUAUCUUCAAAGAAGCCCAAUUUCUUUAUUUCUUCACCAAUUCCUUUUGGUGCUAGCUGUUAGGAGUUUGAUUUUCUUCAAACUUUAUCAGAAGAACAUGCACUUGCAUUUUUUUUGGAAGAUCUUCAGCCUUCAGGAAUAUGAUGAAAGAAAAUGAGAAACUACUGGUGGGUGGUAUAAAUGGGUGUUUAAUUUGAAGAAAGAGUUGGUGGUGGAGGUUGUAUGGACUAAACUGAUGGUGGUGGAGGUAAAACGUUGGUGGAGCUGGCAACUAGCUCUCUGCUAGUGGUGGAGGUUGUAUGGAGUGAACUUGUGGUGGUUAAUGGGUGUUUGGAGGUUGUAUGGUGUGAACUUGUGGUGGUGAAUGGGUGUUUGGAGGUUGUAUGGACUGAACUGGUCUCUGUAGAAACUUGGUUCACUGAAACUCUGAAAGAAAGCUUUCAAAGGGAUAUUUUGGUCAAGUAACCGUUGGUCAUCGAGAUUUUGGUGGAAGUGGGACUCCUGGUCAUACAUUUGUAGAGGUGGAUUUUUUUAUGCAUAAAAAUCUUAAAGGAUGCUGUUAUAUACCGCCAUACGAGUUAAAAUUGGCCAAGUCUGAUCGGUCUUUCUAGUAGAGGUGCUGAUGUUGAUUGUUGUUUUGAGCAUAGAGUUGUAGUUGUUGAAGUUACAGAGCUGGAGGAAGACGUAAUCAUAGACAUGGACAAGAUUUUUUAAUUCACUAGUGGAGAAUGGGCUAUCUGAGACACAAUGAAACAACACCAAGUAAAUCUCGCGGUUCAACUACAUGUAGAAAGUGUCGUUACCUAAGGCCAAAUUGACGUAUCAGGACUUUUGUUGACUUAGCCAACAACUUACUUACUGUGCAGCUGACUAAAGUCAAGAUGCCGUUAUGGCUAGAAUUUUGUUGACUUAUAUAAAGACAUUACGUGUAGUGUUGUUUCAGUGGUACGAUAUUCCACCUUGUUUGGUUGGGAAUUAGGAUUUGCUCUCGUGUCAAAUAUUAGACCUCAACCUUAUCCCAACUGAGAGAGAAAAAACAUAUUCUUCUCCGCCUCUCUCGUCUCCCUCUCUUCUUCUCCCUCACCUUGUUGUUUACACUGUGGAGAUGAUAUUCUCAAUUCUUAGAUUUUAGGCUGUUAGAUCAGCAUAAAAUAUCAAAGCUGUAUCUACUUUUUUUUUUUUUUCUCCUUCUCCUCUCCAAAUCGAACCCUAGGUUUGUCAGAUCUACUUAUCUUCAGCUCUAAAUUAAGAACCAGAGAGAAACCAUUUUUUCUUGUGACCUUCUUCAUCUAUCCGGAUCCAUUUGCUAAUUACCAUAAAGAAUCGACCUUAAUGAACCUAAAAACCACCAAUAUGAACCAGAAAGAAAAAUAACCAUUAAAAUCCCUUCUUGUCGUACCAUUUCUUUGAAACCCUUACCUUCAAAAAAAACCCAUUUUCUAUUGUUCUGUAACCAAUUUCAGCUUAAUUUUUCCCUAUUCUUCAUCAUAUAGGUUUGAUUUUGUUGACUGGGUUUUAAUUAUCGUUCGAUUUUCAUUGUAGCAAUUCUUAGAAGAACAGUUAAAAUCUUCACUUGCAUUUUUUUUGAAGAUUUUCAGCCAAUCAAGUAUAACUUCUCCUUCACUUUAACUUGUUUCAAAUGGAUUUGAUGUUAAUGAAAUUAUUUAAAGUCAUUUGGUGUUACUCUUGUUUUAAUUAAGUAAUUAGAAGUCAUCCAGAAUUUUUGUCAAACUAAAUUGGGUAUUCUUAAGGAUUCUGAUUUCGGAUGUUGGGUUUAUAAUUCUUGUCAAAAAAAAAAGAGUUAUGUGGUAUUUAUGAGUCUGAAAUUGGGUUUGAUUUGUUAGUUUUAGUGGGCUGUAUUGAUAAUUUUUGGUUAUCACUGGUGGUGGUGGAGGUUGUAUGGACUGAUGGUGGUGGUGGCUGGGUGCUUGGAGAGGGAAUCAAUGAGUUCGAUAAAGCAUUGGUGGUGAUGGUAACUAGCUCGCUGCUAGUGGUGAAAUCAACUAAAUCUCAUAGUUGAGUCUCAGCUUUCUUAACAUUUGGAUUCUGCUGAUGUAGAGUGUAUGGGCCGUGUGGCGAAUUAGCUGUAUUACCAUAAGCCUUCACACACUUGCUUAUUAUUCAAGUAUGUAGUAUUCAUGAAUCACAAUGCUUCAAUCACAUCUGCACUAAAGGUCACUUAUUUUAAUUGUACACAUACUUUAAGUUGAAUGGUUUAGGAAAUAAUUUUACUUUCAGCCUAAAUAAUAGUUGAGCAUCAUAUUAAGUCUAAUGAUUAGGAAAUUUUGUUUAAGAACUUGAAUAGGUUGGUGGUCCAUUAAGUGAUUGGUUAUUAGAAUGCUUACAACGCACAUUUUGGGUAAAUAACUUGGGUCCUACACUGCUACUGGUAGUAGCCAAACACAGUAGUAGUAUAUGUAUCACUUGUUAAAGUUAUUCUAAAAUCCCUGCUUUACAACUAAACUUUGUAAUGGAGCAGUUUAUAUGCUUACAGUCAUUUAUAUGCCUUGCUCUUUUUUAUGAACUUUGUAUCUGUUGUAAUGGUCAUAGUGAAUGUUUCCUGCUUAUUAAUAAGUAUGAUAGGAAGCUAGAUAAAGUGAACUAUGUUGUCGUCUAACUUAACUUUAAAACUGCCGUGUACUUAGAUGUGCUGCAUACACAAUACUUACACUUUCGAACUUCUAUUUAAUUUAAGUUUGGAUCCGUGCCGUGAACUACUUAGUAGCUCGUGUUCUCUUUUCCUUAUGAGAUCCUUCUUUAUAUAUGUAUUUGUGCCCAGUACAAGUCUACUUGUUUCUAUCCGAUAACUCUUGGGAAUUUAAGAGUUCAUUUUUGUUCAUGCUUCUUGUAUAAUGCUGUCUAGCUUAGUUGCUCUUUAAAUGCCUGAUUUGCACUUUCUAGUCUGGCUAGCCCCUUGUUGGCAGGUCUUGCUUGUAUGUAUCUUUACCUGUUUUACCUUCUACUUGUGCAGUUCUAUGUUUUCAGUUGUUAUAUAUAAUGGAAUUGUUAAGUGCUAUUGUGGUGUUCGAUUCUACGUUUGUUUCAUUUCUCCUUGCUUCUUUGCAAGUUGUAUUCAUAACUGCAUUUUCUAAAGUCUGCCUGCUUGCAUUUGUACAGGCAGGGCGGGUCCCAAAGGGGAAGCAGGGAAAGCUCCACUUUGGAGCAUCAAGGCCUAGGGGGCAACAAAAUAAGUGCUUUAUGUUUUGGGUUUUUAUCAAAAAUAAAAACAUUUUUAGGGGCUUAUUCAUAAAUAUAUGUGAUAUAUGGGGCAGAAAUUGAACAGUUUUAGGACUAAAUUGGAAAUUCUUUUCUCUUUCCACUAAAUAAUCCUUAAUUCCCUAUUGCAGGCUUAGAAAAAAAAUCGCAGCUACCAGAAUUUAGGAGGUAUAUAUGCUAAUAAGGCAUUGACUUGUUCUGUGCACGACAUAACUGAUUGCUGGCACAAUUGGUUGAUGUCAAUGUUCAAAGAUUUGCCUAUCAAAAAAUUAUAGGAUCUAGUAGUUCAAUUUAUGAUCGAAAAAUCAUACGCUGUACAUUCAUUCCACUAUUCAAAUUUUUGUUUAUCGCAGUUACCUUUUUUCCUCCUUUAAGACACGCCUUCACUUAAAAAGGAAGCAAACAUUACGAUCUCAAAAUAAAAAGAAGAGUUAAAAAAUGCUCUUGUUACACUAAGUUAAGCUGCAGCGUAAAAGAAUUAAUAUAAUUAUGGGGGCAAAAAAAUUUAGUCCACUUCGGGGCAAAAAAAAGUCAGGACCGGCCCUGGUACAGGUCUGAGAAAAUUCUUCAGGGGCGGGCUUUGAGUUCUCUUGUUCACAUGUGCAUAUGUAUUGCAAGUUGGCGUGUAAGGAUGGAAGCACAUCUAGUAAACAAAUCACUCUUGGUGUUGUUUCUAUUUUUUUAUGAAUUUCUAUCAAUUAUACUGGACUGGUAUUAUACAGAUUUUGGUUCUCCCUGUUAUGAGUAGAAGCAAGCUAAACUUAAUUUCUUUUUUAUUUUCUGUUGUUAAUGAACUUGUUAAUCUGAAUAGCAUCCGUCUAUCUAAAUAGAUCAUUAUUCGUGUGUGUAACUGUGGAUUCUGAAAUAUUGUGACAAGUCAUUACAAGUUUGCAGUCAGCAGAUUAAGGACCAGAUAUAAGUUAUUACACUCACGAUCAACUAUGACUUCUCAACAAGGCACUAAAUGCAGAUGAUGAUAUGGUUGAUUUGAAGCAAUUAGAUGAGGAUAUAGAGGUACUGCAAAGAAGUUAAAUGUGGUUUUUAGCUCUCAAGAUGCUCAUCUUACUAUGGUUGCUAAUGAAAUGAGGCGGAUGUUUUCAGUUGGUGGUCCUGGAAAACGGUUGCAGUCACUACUAUUUCGAGACCUUCAUGGAUGCUGUCACUCUCUUUCCGAUGGUCUCAUGAGGGUUUCUGAUGUCAUGGUUGAUGGUGAGAUCGUUGUUGCUGCUAGAUAAGGAAAUGUUGGAAAGGGUUGUGCUUCUACAGGAUCUUCUCUCAAGCAAGCUGGUGCAAAGGUCCUAAUGACUGAAAUUGUGGUUGAAAUUUUUUUAGGACUUAUUGUAUCACUUCUCUUUAAGAAACCUUAAUAAUAGGGGUUGAAUCCUUUUCUUUUUAAUGAUUUUGGACUAAACUUAUUCAAUGUAAUGAAGCUGUCAUUUAUUAUUAGAUGAUUCAGGUUUUAUUUGGAAUUUGUAUUUGAAUUUUAAUAUUUUAAUAUUAAUUGUCAUUCGAAUUUCACUUGAA